CUUUUUUAUUUUAUUUUUUAUUUUUUUUAUUACUCAAGUGAAUUUAUCACAUCUGUAGUUGUAUAAUGAUGAUAUCAAUCCGAUUUCACAGGAUUUCCAUCCCACAGCCCAAGCACAUCCCCCUACCCCCAAAACUGUCUCCUCCAGAGACCAUAAGUUUUUCGAUGUCUGUGAGUCAGCAUCUGUUCUGCAAAGAAGUUCAGUCUGUCCUUAAUAUUGAUUCUUCCAAUCCAAGAACAUGGUAUAUCUUUCCAUCUGUUUGUAUCACCUUUGAUUUAUUUCAUCAGUGUCUUGUAGUUUUCAGAGUACGGGUCAGGGACCCCCCUUUAGUCUUAUCUGUUAUUCCUUACUUUUCAUACACAGAGGAAGUGUCCGUGGGUCUCUUAGGUAACCAAAUCCUAAUUUUAACAGGAGAGGAGGCAGCAAGAGGAGAAAGAGAACUAGAAAGUUGAAACAGAAGACCCUCUAGACAGACACAGCUUCCAUCGGUCUGUCCGCCUAUCCUCCCCACCUUCCACGGUUGUGGGUCAGCCCCUCCUCUGCACCGACACAGGCAGACCCUGUCCCAAGAAGCUCAAAGGAAGACAUCCAAAGCCACACACGUCUGGGUGCUCCAGACACCUCCGGGGUGCCUCCCUCGGGGAAGGGUCAGAGGGCAUUUCUGGGGAGGACACAGACCAGGAUAGACAGGGGAAGUGGGGAGGCCAUGCCUCAGAGGAACACCCUCUCACAGCAACAGAUGUGGGGGUCGAAGCUCAGUAGGAAGAGGCCUGAAGAGGUGUGGCUGGGAGGGAGGGAGGGCACCGACCUGGAGGAAGCAGGCUGAGCAGGUGAGGAAGGCAGGGAAUAGCCCCCACAAGCAGAGAUGCCUCAGCUCAGGGAGCAAGAGAAGCCUCCAAAGGAAACACAGGAGAGACGGCUGGACACGGGGGUGGAAAACCAGGAGGCUCAUCAUCCUGGGAGCCCAGGGUCCCUGUGGACCAGGAGAGACAUGGAAAGAAAGGACCUGAUUCUGUCUGGAGGUCAGUGGAGGCCUCACUUGAGCACCAUGGAUGGGCUCAAGUUCAGCUGCAGGUGUUUGCAGAGGGCGGGGGGUGGGAAGGAUGAGGAGAAAGUCAGGGCCUAAUGUUUUCUCCCAAGCUCUUCCGUGGACUGAAGGAGAGAGCAGACAGAAGGUACUGGGAACAAAAGGUCAGUGGAGGGAGGUGAACGUGUUUGUCUCAGAAAAAAACCCAGGAGAGGGGAAACAUGGUGUUGCCAAGGCAGCCACGCUGAUCGGGGCGGGGGAUGGAGAGAAACAGAGUAGAAGAUGGGGGUGGGGGGUCAGAGGAAGAAUCAACGUAAAGGUGGGAGGCAGGAUAGGAGGAGGGGGCCGCGAUUUCCACCCCCCAGAUGGCGGAGGGGCAGGGGAAGCGGUAGGGGAAGUCGAGGCUUUCCUCCCAGACUUGGUGAAUUUGCCAUGCGGGUGGGAACCCCAAGUGAGGAUGAAAAGGUGUUUGGGUCCAUGGGCCUGGCUGUACUCAGACAUGAACAAGGGGGCAACAGUAGCCCCCCCGAUGUGCAGGGCGUGGCCCAAGGAGAAUGUGUGAGCAGAGGAGAGCAGAAAGAGGCGACCACAGCCUAGGGGGCUCUGAUACUGGAGGGAGGCGGGGAGGCAGGCUGGAGGAGCGGACAGACAGAAAGGUCCACACACCCUGGGUGUGAGACUCAGAGACCACAACUUGGGGAGCCUUUAUUACCCCCCGCAUCUUCUCAUGGUAUAACAACUGGUCUGUCUUCCCCCAGACUCUGAGUUUCCUCAGGACACAGCUGGGACUAUGGGCUCUUUGCCCUGAGCAGAGCGCACAGUAGGUGUUCCACUGGCAUUUAGUGAUGGGUGGAUGGGUGGAUGAGUGCCAUCCAGGGACAAGAUUUGGGGUCCUUGCUGAGGCAGAGCUGAAGAAUGAGACAGGGAUCCUGAGCAGACUCGGGGGAUCUCUUGGCAGGAAGGGGGCCCGUAUGGGUCUUGAGCAGUAGGGGAGACAGAGAGAGACAUGAGGCACCAAGCAAGGGAGGGACAUUCAGUGCUGAUGAGAACAGAAAGCGAUGCCCACCCUGGGGUGUAGAGAUGCUGGGGGAGGGUGUUGUGUUGCUCUGGAUUUAAGACACUCAAGGGGGAGCGUCCCAGACAGGGUUGGCUCUGAGAGGGUCACAUCUCCAGGAGCAUAGCAGCUUUCCCAUGGCGGGCAGGGGCAGGGUGGUCCAGGGAAUCUGUAUGGAGUAGAGAAAUUGGGCACAGGGGAGAACCUGGUCCCCCUGGAUGGAUGGAUGGAUGGAUGGACGGACA
Molecule: long non-coding RNA, 2326 nt
Filed under: Sus scrofa (pig)
Lineage: Eukaryota; Metazoa; Chordata; Mammalia; Artiodactyla; Suidae
Description: lncRNA (ENSSSCG00025047685.1)
Source: RNAcentral